This 545-nucleotide ribosomal RNA is filed under the name uncultured bacterium. RNAcentral's name for it is "partial 16S ribosomal RNA". It matches the Rfam family "Bacterial small subunit ribosomal RNA", at positions 355 to 893 of the family's 1533-position model. The record is from RNAcentral.
UGGGGAAUAUUGGACAAUGGGCGAAAGCCUGAUCCAGCCAUGCCGCGUGUGUGAAGAAGGUCUUCGGAUUGUAAAGCACUUUAAGUUGGGAGGAAGAGCAGUUACCUAAUACGUGAUUGUUUUGACGUUACCGACAGAAUAAGCACCGGCUAACUCUGUGCCAGCAGCCGCGGUAACACAGAGGGUGCAAGCGUUAAUCGGAAUUACUGGGCGUAAAGCGCGCGUAGGUGGUUAGUUAAGUUGGAUGUGAAAUCCCCGGGCUCAACCUGGGAACUGCAUUCAAAACUGACUGACUAGAGUAUGGUAGAGGGUGGUGGAAUUUCCUGUGUAGCGGUGAAAUGCGUAGAUAUAGGAAGGAACACCAGUGGCGAAGGCGACCACCUGGACUGAUACUGACACUGAGUGCGAAAGCGUGGGGAGCAAACAGGAUUAGAUACCCUGGUAGUCCACGCCGUAAACGAUGUCAACUAGCCGUUGGGAGCCUUGAGCUCUUAGUGGCGCAGCUAACGCAUUAAGUUGACCGCCUGGGGAGUACGGCCGCAAGG